Molecule: ribosomal RNA, 609 nt
Filed under: uncultured bacterium
Lineage: Bacteria
Description: bacterial SSU rRNA
Rfam family: Archaeal small subunit ribosomal RNA
Source: RNAcentral
ACGAAGGCUAGGGUAGCAAACCGGAUUAGAUACCCGGGUAGUCUUAGCUGUAAACAUUGCCCAUUUGAUGUUGCUUUUCCGUUGAGGGAAGGCAGUGUCGGAGCGAAGGUGUUAAAUGGGCCGCUUGGGAAGUAUGGUCGCAAGACUGAAACUUAAAGGAAUUGGCGGGGGAGCACCGCAACGGGAGGAAUGUGCGGUUUAAUUGGAUUCAACGCCGGAAAACUCACCGGGAACGACCUGUGCAUGAGAGUCAACCUGACGAGCUUACUCGAUAGCAGGAGAGGUGGUGCAUGGCCGUCGUCAGCUCGUACCGUAGGGCGUUCACUUAAGUGUGAUAACGAGCGAGACCCACAUCUUUAAUUGCAAAUGUAUAUGAGAAUAUGCAUGCACUUUAGAGAAACCGCCAGCGCUAAGCUGGAGGAAGGAGUGGUCGACGGCAGGUCAGUACGCCCCGAAUUUCCCAGGCUACACGCGCAUUACAAAGAACGGGACAAUACGUUGCAACCUCGAAAGAGGAAGCUAAUCGCGAAACCCGUCCAUAGUUAGGAUUGAGGGCUGUAACUCGCCCUCAUGAUCUGGAUUCCGUAGUAAUCGCGGGCCAACAACCGC